GAGGCAUGGGCUUGUGUCCCAUAGGGUCUGGGCUCACUUCUUUCACCUGAGGAGAGGUGGGAAGCCUGGCACAGGUGCAACUCAUUCUCAGCCUCCUUAAAGGGCCAGUACACAUGUGCUUUCCUGGCUAACAGAAGACUAAUGUUUUCUUGUUACAGCCUUAAACAGGACUAAAACUUUGCCUUACCCAGUUAUUUUUCACCUCUGGGCUAGAAGCAAGCUCAGCCUCUUGCGGUAAUCAAGAAGGAGAAGUAGGGAUGCUCUCCAAUGGCCUUGCAAUGUAGUGCUGGGAACUGAUUGUAUAUUAGAUUGGAUUUCUGUACCGAGGGCCUUUCCAGUUCCUUCCUGCUGCCCUCCGCCUCUCCAUGCUACGCCCACCGCAGAACAGCUUUGGGUGUCCCAGAUGGGGAUGACAGAAAGAGCAUAAGAUUUUACCCAAGGUCGCGUUUCUGACGGGGCUGUGAAUUAGCCACAGACCAGCCAGUCCAGGGAGCAAGUGUGAACCGUCGUCCUCUGCCAGUAUGAUGAUAAACCACGUGAAGAAUGGAGAAUGGGGAAAAGAGAGAUUAAAAAGGCUUAUAAAAUUUCUAGGGGCUGAAGUAAUGCUUUUAUUCCCAACUCCUACGCUGACAGCUGCUUUGAGAAGAGUAGGAGUGGAGA
Long non-coding RNA from Alligator mississippiensis (American alligator), 660 nucleotides. RefSeq lists it as uncharacterized. The record is from RefSeq and is a predicted model, not a curated record. Lineage: Eukaryota; Metazoa; Chordata; Crocodylia; Alligatoridae. The transcript is spliced from 3 exons.